UGGGGAAUAUUGGACAAUGGGCGCAAGCCUGAUCCAGCCAUGCCGCGUGAGUGAUGAAGGCCCUAGGGUUGUAAAGCUCUUUCACCGGUGAAGAUAAUGACGGUAACCGGAGAAGAAGCCCCGGCUAACUUCGUGCCAGCAGCCGCGGUAAUACGAAGGGGGCUAGCGUUGUUCGGAUUUACUGGGCGUAAAGCGCACGUAGUCGGACUUUUAAGUCAGGGGUGAAAUCCCGGGGCUCAACCCCGGAACUGCCUUUGAUACUGCAAGUCUUGAGUAUGGUAGAGGUGAGUGGAAUUCCGAGUGUAGAGGUGAAAUUCGUAGAUAUUCGGAGGAACACCAGUGGCGAAGGCGGCUAACUGGACCAAUACUGACGCUGAGGUGCGAAAGAGUGGGGAGCAAACAGG
RNAcentral lists this ribosomal RNA (404 nucleotides) under Actinomycetes bacterium. RNAcentral describes it as "Actinobacteria bacterium partial 16S ribosomal RNA". It matches the Rfam family "Bacterial small subunit ribosomal RNA", at positions 355 to 776 of the family's 1533-position model. Lineage: Bacteria; Bacillati; Actinomycetota; Actinomycetes. The record is from RNAcentral.